Molecule: ribosomal RNA, 480 nt
Filed under: uncultured archaeon
Lineage: Archaea
Description: bacterial SSU rRNA
Rfam family: Archaeal small subunit ribosomal RNA
Source: RNAcentral
ACGGCUCAGUAACACGUAGUCAACUCACCCUAUGGACGAGGAUAAUCUCGGGAAACUGAGCAUAGUACUCGAUAGAUCAUAAUGCCUGGAAUGGUUUCUGGUUGAUAUGAUUCGUCGCCAUAGGAUGGGACUGCGGCCUAUCAGCUUGUUGGUGAGGUAAUGGCCCACCAAGGCGAUUACAGGUACGGGCUCUGAGAGGAGAAGCCCGGAGAUGGGUACUGAGACAAGGACCCAGGCCCUAUGGGGCGCAGCAGGCGAGAAAACUUUGCAAUGUGCGAAAGCACGACAAGGUUAAUCCGAGUGAUUUCUGCUAAAGAAAUCUUUUGCAAGUCAUAAAACCACUAGUGAAUAAGGGGUGGGCAAGUUCUGGUGUCAGCCGCCGCGGUAAAACCAGCACCUCAAGUGGUCAGGAGGAUUAUUGGGCCUAAAGCAUCCGUAGCCGGCUCUGUAAGUUUUCGGUUAAAUCCAUGUGCUCAACGC